UACAGAGGUCUCAAGCGUUGUUCGGAUUCAUUGGGCGUAAAGGGUGCGUAGGCGGCGCGGUAAGUCGGGUGUGAAAUCUUGGAGCUUAACUCCGAAACUGCAUUCGAUACUGCCGUGCUUGAGGACUGGAGAGGAGACUGGAAUUUACGGUGUAGCGGUGAAAUGCGCAGAUAUCAGGAGGAACACCGGUGGCGAAGGCGGGUCUCUGGACAGUUCCUGACGCUGAGGCACGAAGGCCAGGGGAGCAAACGGG
RNAcentral lists this ribosomal RNA (253 nucleotides) under uncultured bacterium. RNAcentral's name for it is "partial 16S ribosomal RNA". It matches the Rfam family "Bacterial small subunit ribosomal RNA", at positions 524 to 776 of the family's 1533-position model. The record is from RNAcentral.